Molecule: small RNA, 4819 nt
Filed under: Pan troglodytes (chimpanzee)
Lineage: Eukaryota; Metazoa; Chordata; Mammalia; Primates; Hominidae
Description: retained intron
Source: RNAcentral
GGGCAACGAGAUAGCGUCGGGCAACGGUGGCGCCGCGGCAGGCGACGACGAGGACGGGCAGAACCUCUGGUCCUGCAUCCUCAGCGAGGUCUCCACCCGCUCGCGCUCCAAGCUCCCUGCGGGGAAGAACGUGCUACUGCUGGGUGAAGAUGGAGCUGGAAAAACAAGCUUAAUAAGAAAAAUUCAGGGAAUAGAGGAGUAUAAGAAAGGAAGAGGAUUGGAAUAUUUGUACUUAAAUGUGCAUGAUGAAGACAGGGAUGAUCAAACAAGAUGUAAUGUUUGGAUCUUAGAUGGAGACCUAUAUCACAAAGGCCUCCUUAAAUUUUCACUGGAUGCCGUAUCUCUGAAGGAUACUCUAGUUAUGCUGGUUGUUGACAUGUCAAAGCCUUGGACUGCUUUGGAUUCUUUACAGAAAUGGGCAAGUGUUGUUAGAGAACAUGUUGACAAACUGAAAAUCCCUCCUGAAGAAAUGAAACAAAUGGAACAAAAGUUGAUUAGAGACUUCCAAGAAUAUGUAGAGCCAGGAGAAGACUUCCCGGCUUCUCCCCAGAGAAGAAAUACUGCGUCACAAGAAGACAAAGAUGACAGUGUAGUUUUACCUCUGGGUGCGGAUACACUUACACAUAACUUGGGCAUUCCAGUACUAGUAGUUUGCACAAAGUGUGAUGCCAUUAGUGUAUUGGAGAAAGAACAUGACUACAGAGAUGAACAUUUUGAUUUUAUUCAGUCACAUAUUCGGAAGUUUUGUUUACAGUAUGGUGCAGCACUUAUUUACACUUCAGUAAAAGAAAACAAAAAUAUAGACUUAGUAUAUAAAUACAUCGUUCAGAAACUAUAUGGAUUUCCCUAUAAGAUUCCUGCUGUUGUUGUGGAAAAGGAUGCAGUAUUUAUUCCAGCAGGGUGGGAUAAUGAUAAGAAAAUAGGAAUAUUACAUGAAAAUUUUCAAACAUUAAAAGCAGAAGAUAAUUUUGAAGACAUCAUAACUAAACCACCUGUUCGAAAGGUAACCAUUUUAGUAAAUAAUCUCAAUAUUUAGACUUUAGACUAACCUGAGGGGAAGUCCAUACUUUAAAAUUGAAUGUAGAAAGGCAAAAAUGUCCUUUUCCAUCUGGAGGGUUUCUAAGUAUAAUUUUGGUGUGUUUCUAAUGUACAGUUUACAUAAGGAUUUGUUUUAGCAAAAUAGAAAUCAGCUAUUCAGCUAAUUAAAUCUUCGCCCUUGGCAUAUUUAUAUUAGCAAUUGUUAGUGCAGAAUCCACAUUCUAAUAUAGUGCUUUGGAAAUCAGAUUGGCAUGAGUGAAUAUGUGGAUCUUACAGAGUUUGAAUAGGUAGAAGCUGUGAACUUUCCAACCUAGAGCUUGGCCAAGAGCCAAGAAAACAUUGCUAGAAUAAUUCUGUUGGUUCUAUCUAUUGAGGCAGGUCUUGGAUCUUCUCUCCAGUUAGUUACCCACAUUAGCUCACAGCUAUCCAAGAACUUUCAAAUAUAUAUAUAUAUAUAUAUAUAUAUAUAUAUAUAUAUAUUUUUUUUUUUUUUUUUUUUUUUUUUUUGAGAUGGAGUCUCACUGUGUUACCCAGCCUGGAGUAAAAUGGCAUGAUCUCAGCUCACUGCAACCUCUGCCUCCCAGGUUCAAGCGAUUCUGUCACCUCAGCCUCCCGAGUAGCUGGGAUUACAGGCACCCACCAUCGUGCCCAGCUAAUUUUUUUGUAUUUUUGUAGAGAUGGGUUUCACCAUGUUGGCCAGGCUGGUCUUGAACUCCUGACCUCAAAUGAUCCGCUCACCUCGGCCUCCCAAAGUGCUGGGAUUACAGGUGUGAGCCACUGCACCCGGCCCAGUUUUAGUCUCGACUCUAACAUAUCAAUCUAUCCAAUCAGAUCCCAGAAGAUACACUGCUUUCCUAUAUCUUGACUUCAUGCAGUGUAUAAUGUUCUAUAGAUAGAGAUGUUUCUGAAAGCUCUAUAAAAAUGAGUAUUUGCAUAAAUAAAUUGACUAUCCCUAAUCUGAAAAUCCAAAAUGCUCAAAAAUCUGAAACACUUUGAGCUCCAACAUGACUCUCAAAAGGAAGUGCUUAUUGAAACAUUUUGGAUUUUCAGAUUACGGAUGCUGAACUGAUAAGUAUUAAUGCAAAUAUUCAGCAAUCUGAAACACUUCCACUUCUGGUCGCAAGCAUUUCGGAUGAAGGAUACUCAACUUGUAGUAGUUCUCACUGACUGACUUUAAUCUUGACAUAUAUAUCAAGAAAAAAUAAUUUUUAUUUAGCAUAUAAGAGUCUUCAGAAUCCAAACACUCAUAAUAUAAAGCAUCCAUCUUCUGUUUGUGGGUUAUUAUUAGUAAUAAGAAAAGGUCAAAUGAAAAAUCAGUUGGUGUGGUAUUUGGUUUGGAUGUCUAUUAAAAGAAAUGCACGCAUAAAAAUAAAAUAGCAAAAAUAUUUCACAUUCUUUUAUUGAGCAUCACCUCAGGCCCUGUUUAGGUUCUAAGUGCUAAAUGGGAAGGAGAGUGAUACCUAUAGUACACCAAUACAUAGACAUCUGUCAAGUAGUGAUAAGUGCUACAGAAAUAAAGCAGGAUGUAGGGAGAGUGAGCAAGGGGACUGGGCUGUGAGGGAUGCUGUAUAUGAAUGAUGGGGGAAGGUCUUUGAUAAAGGGGGGAGAAUGCUGAAGGCAGGGGGAACUAAAAGUGUACAUGCCCUGAGGCAGAAAUAUAUGAGGAAGACAGAGGCAGGAAAGAGCUGUGGGGAAGGUUAAGCUAGUUGAUGAGAGGCAGAAUUAAGUUACUGUGGGUCUUUAUCAUUAGGCUACAGUAAGGACUUUAGGUUUCAUUCUGAGUUAGAUGGAAAGAGAUUGAGAGGUUGAGCAGAGGAGUGAUGUAAUCUGACUUAACCUUUUAGAAGAAUCACUGGCUCCUGGGAAGAAAAUAGAUUGGGUAUGUGUUAUACAGCAAGAAUAGAAGCAGGAGACUUUUGCAAUUCCUUUUCCUAAUUAUUCAGCUCAUAGAAGAGCCAUUAUAUUUUUAUUUCAGAGAAACAAGGGAGAAGUUGCAUUUCACUUAACUAGGAUAUUACUGGCCCUUUUAAAACACCCUAACUGCUGUUUAGCAAAUUUUAUAAGCAUGAUUAAUAUGCUUGUGACUCUAGGGUUGUGCUGUUCAAUACGGUAGCCACUUGCCUCGUAUGCCUUUUAAAUGUAAAAUUAGAUAAAAUUAAAAAUCAGUUCCUUAGUCACACUAGCCACAUUUCAAGUGCUCAAUAGCCACUGGUGGCUAGUGACUGCCAUAUUGAACAGCACAGAUAUAGAAUAUUUCCAAAACUGUAGCUAGUUACUAGACACCUCUGCUGAAGGCCUUGGGUAGGGCAGUUCACGCAUGUGAAUAUAAAUAUAGUAUAGGUAAUGUUCAAAUUCUUGAACUGUUUUUUAAUUAGUCCAAUCUAGAGAAUAAAUUAUUAAUUGUGUUAGCGUAAUAUAUUAAAUUUGCUCAUUUGUGCAUUGCUCAUUUCAGUUUGUACAUGAGAAGGAAAUUAUGGCAGAAGAUGAUCAGGUGUUUCUUAUGAAGCUACAGGUAUGAAAUUAUAUCAGAAGCAGACUUAGUAUGGUUAAUGAGUAAACUGUUCUUGUGUGUAUUUUCUUUAAAAAUACACCAGUAUAUGCUAUGAAUGUCUAAACUAGGAUUUUUUUGGUUUUUUUUUUUUUUUUUCAGUCCCUUUUAGCAAAGCAACCACCAACUGCAGCUGGAAGGCCUGUGGAUGCCUCACCAAGAGUCCCAGGAGGCUCCCCACGAACACCAAAUAGAUCUGUAUCAUCUAAUGUUGCCAGCGUGUCACCCAUUCCUGCUGGGUCAAAAAAAAUUGAUCCAAACAUGAAAGCUGGAGCUACAAGUGAAGGUGUUCUGGCAAAUUUCUUCAACAGUUUGUUGAGUAAAAAGACUGGCUCUCCAGGAGGCCCUGGUGUGAGUGGUGGUAGCCCUGCAGGUGGGGCUGGAGGUGGAAGCAGUGGUUUACCACCAUCCACCAAAAAGUCAGGCCAGAAGCCUGUCUUAGAUGUUCAUGCGGAACUAGACAGAAUUACACGAAAACCAGUUACAGUUUCUCCCACAACACCUACAUCUCCUACGGAAGGAGAAGCUUCUUGAAGAUACCAAAUAAAGCCAUUUAUUCUGUUUUCUGGGAUAAUGUAAACAUGCCUCUGCCUUUUCCUUCAAAAGUGGAAUUAGAAAGCUGGAGUGCUUCUUCAGAUGGACUAAAUUUAUGUCAUGUGUGUGUGUGUGUGUGUGUGUGGUUACCCAUUUUUUAGAAGGAGCCGUACAGAAGAAAAAUUAUUCUACAUUAUGUAGGAUUGCUGUUUGCAUUGCCAUUUUGCAUAAGAAAGUAAUUUUUGAUUUUGAAAAUCUCAAAACUUUUAGAUCUGAAAUACAACCAUGUGAUCGAUCAUAUUCUAAAGGCUAUUUAAAACAUGUAAAAGGAUUUGGGGAAGGGCAGAAAACAUGCAGUUUGGGCAUUUGACUGACUUGGAAGUCUAAGCUUAUUUUAGUUAUAACUAUUAAAAUCAUUUUUAAAGAUUUGUUAGUUUUGCUGACAGAGAAAAAUCGUCAGUUGUCAGAUUUUGCACACCACAAUAAAUGUACCACCACACACGGAAUAUGCUAAGAAAACUAUCAGAUAGCGUUUGAUACACUAGUCAUUGUCUCAAUCACUGAUCCUGUAAGUUGUCAUCAAAAUAUGAUUUAGAAAUAUUGGCCAAGGUGUUUCUUUAACUGAGGAGAAAAGAAAGCACACUGCCUAAAUGUGUAAAAGAAAAAUGCAGAGGUUAUUAAAAUGUAAAGAAGUAACAU